UACGUGAGGGGCGAACGUUGUUCGGUGUCACUGGGCUUAAAGGGCUCGUAGGCGGCCAACUAAGUCGGAUGUGAAAUCCCCAGGCUUAACCUGGGAACUGCAUCCGAUACUGGAUGGCUUGAAUCCGGGAGAGGGAUGCAGAAUUCCAGGUGUAGCGGUGAAAUGCGUAGAUAUCUGGAGGAAUACCGGUGGCGAAGGCGGCAUCCUGGACCGGCAUUGACGCUGAGGAGCGAAAGCUAGGGGAGCAAACGGG
This 253-nucleotide ribosomal RNA is filed under the name uncultured bacterium. RNAcentral's name for it is "partial 16S ribosomal RNA". It matches the Rfam family "Bacterial small subunit ribosomal RNA", at positions 524 to 776 of the family's 1533-position model. The record is from RNAcentral.